GAAGAUGAAUCAUAAGGGGCUGACAAUUGAUAACUGUUGUAGAAGCAAAAGUUGGUGGAGAUGGCGAAGGCUUGAGCUGAAGAGAAUGAAGAGAGAUCAAGGGGACCCCAGCACUGAAGUUCCCCUGCUGGUUCCCUAGAGGAUAAAUGGGAGGACAAAAAUCUUUACCAAAGUCUGGAAUGUUCAAAACAUCAUCAGAAUCCGUCAACUCAGAUGGCUGCACCAAGGUGCAUGGAGGGCGUGAAAAUGUAUCCCUUAAAAAGGCUCCUCCUAUCAUAAGACGAGUUAAGCAUUUGGCACUUUCUCCACCUGCAAUACUUUCCCGAGAAAAGAAUAAAGACUGCAUCAAAAGUUCAAGCUGAAAUUCUGUGUCCUUCAAACGUAGAAAAAUGUGGUCCACAACAACGGAGACCAAAGACCGCCCAGCUGCUUCUGUAUGUUGCUGAUUUGGCUUGACAUCUCCUCUGUUUAUACAGACAUACAAUCCUGUCAUGAAGCGAAGAAGAGCUCGUAAUCCUGGUUCACUUAGAGCUGGACAAACAGUUUCUGUAAUGUGCAAUUGAACUUCAAGUCCUAGUGGACUAUUUAGUCCAGUCCUCUGAAUCGUUAUAUUAGCUUCUCCAGAUAUUCCUUCAAUGAAUCUCUCCCCGCCAAAAAACACUCGCUUUGCUCCAUCUUCAUCUCUCUUGUUAUUCCCCCCUUGAGAGCUUCCAAAAUUUGCAUCCGCGAACAUAUCAGGAUGAGGUAACAGGUCAAUAGAUAGAUGUCCCCACUCAAGUUUUUUGAACACAUAUAUGAACUCCUUGCCAGUAGAGAAAUCCCUAGCUUCCUUUAGAUUUACAACCUCCCAGUUCUCAUUUGUAGUAUACAGAAGAAGAUUGUGUAUAGUAAUUGAUGCCAUAGGUGAUGCCCAGCUUGCUCCUCCUCGGCGUCGAGCACCUCCGUGAGUUUCAAGUAGAAGAUUAACUGUAUGGACUUGUAAUGUCAUGCCAUCUGCAAUCUUGUCAGCAAAU
Molecule: unclassified non-coding RNA, 1013 nt
Filed under: Hevea brasiliensis (rubber tree)
Lineage: Eukaryota; Viridiplantae; Streptophyta; Magnoliopsida; Malpighiales; Euphorbiaceae
Source: RNAcentral